This 126-nucleotide small RNA is filed under the name Marmota monax (woodchuck). Lineage: Eukaryota; Metazoa; Chordata; Mammalia; Rodentia; Sciuridae. The record is from RNAcentral.
GCCAGGCGCGGUGGUGCAUGCCUGUAAUCCUAGCAGCUGGGGAGGCAAAGGCAGGAGGAUCACAAGUUCAAAGCUAGCCUCAGCAAAAAGUGAAGUGUUAAGCAACUCAGUGAGAUUCAGUCUCUA